This 232-nucleotide ribosomal RNA is filed under the name uncultured bacterium. Its description in RNAcentral is "partial 16S ribosomal RNA". It matches the Rfam family "Bacterial small subunit ribosomal RNA", at positions 99 to 334 of the family's 1533-position model. The record is from RNAcentral.
CGGACGGGUGAGUGAUGUCUGGGAAACUGCCUGAUGGAGGGGGAUAACUACUGGAAACGGUAGCUAAUACCGCAUAACGUCGCAAGACCAAAGAGGGGGACCUUCGGGCCUCUUGCCAUCGGAUGUGCCCAGAUGGGAUUAGCUAGUAGGUGGGGUAACGGCUCACCUAGGCGACGAUCCCUAGCUGGUCUGAGAGGAUGACCAGCCACACUGGAACUGAGACACGGUCCAG